GACCUCUCAUUACAAUCACAAA
RNAcentral lists this non-coding RNA (22 nucleotides) under Arabidopsis thaliana (thale cress). Lineage: Eukaryota; Viridiplantae; Streptophyta; Magnoliopsida; Brassicales; Brassicaceae. The record is from RNAcentral.